AUUGAACGCUGGCGGCAGGCCUAACACAUGCAAGUCGAACGGUAACAGGAAGAAGCUUGCGUCUUUGCUGACGAGUGGCGGAUGGGUGAGUCAUGUCUGGGAAACUGCCUGAUGGAGGGGGAUAACUACUGGAAACGGCAGCUAAUACCGCAUAACGUCGCAAGACCAAAGAGGGGGACCUUGGUGCCUCUGGCCAUCGUGUGCGCCCAGAUGGGAUUAGCUAGAAGGUGGGGUAACGUCUCACCUAGGCGACGAUCGCUAGCUGAUCUGAGAGUAUGACCGGCGACAUUGGAACUUGACCAAGCACCAGGGUCCUAAGGGAGGACGCAGUGGGCAAUAUUAGACAGUGGGGGCAAGCCUGAUGCAGCAAUGCCACGUGUAUGAAGACGGCCUCGGGGUUGUAAAGUACUUUCAGCGGGGAGGAAGGGAGUAAAGUUAAUACCUAUCCUGAUUGACGUUACCAGGAAAAGAAGCACCGGCUAACUACGUG
This 490-nucleotide ribosomal RNA is filed under the name uncultured bacterium. RNAcentral's name for it is "partial 16S ribosomal RNA". It matches the Rfam family "Bacterial small subunit ribosomal RNA", at positions 30 to 507 of the family's 1533-position model. The record is from RNAcentral.